RNAcentral lists this small nuclear RNA (105 nucleotides) under Stegodyphus dumicola. Lineage: Eukaryota; Metazoa; Arthropoda; Arachnida; Araneae; Eresidae. The record is from RNAcentral.
UACUUGCUUCGGCAGUAUAUAACUAAAACUGGAAUGAUACAGAGAAGAUUAGCAUGGCCCCUGCACAAGGCUGACACGCAAAAUCGUGAAGCGAUCCACAUUUUU